UUCCCUAGUCCCCCUAUUCCUA
This 22-nucleotide microRNA is filed under the name Citrus sinensis (sweet orange). RNAcentral describes it as "csi-miR482c-3p". Its record names the gene csi-miR482c-3p. The record is from miRBase by way of RNAcentral. Lineage: Eukaryota; Viridiplantae; Streptophyta; Magnoliopsida; Sapindales; Rutaceae.